CCGCCCUCCAACGGGAUUCCCCGUCCCGAGGCCCGCCCCCGCCGCUCCUCCUCCGGGACACACUGCCCUCCCCGCAGCAGACACGGUCCUCGCCCGGGACUCUGUCGCCCCGUCGACCCCGUUCCCUCAGCCCUCGGAACCAGGAGUGGGCGCCCCGCUAACCCCGGCCAGAUGGGUCUUUGUCCUAUAAAUUCGUGGAAAAACCAUUGGCACGUGGUCAGCUACUGGACCUUCGAAAAACAGUACCAGCACCUCUGCCCCACUCGGCCCAGCCCCACCCGCAGGCAGUUAAUAGGAGAAAGGAGUAACUGUGUCCCUCCUGGCUUUCGGUUGUGCAUCUUGCUCUUAAAUCCGAGGCCUCUGGGGCUGAAUGAAACUGGACAAAGUGUGCUGAGUAGCCUAACAGGGAUGGUUCUUUUUCUGAAAGUUCCCUAUUGCGGAAAAAUAAAAUUAUGUGUUUAAUUUAUGAAACCUGAUGCCUGAUUUGCCUUGGCAGCCAUUCUCCUGGGCUUGGCCAAGAGUCCAGCAACACUAGUAUACUGAUUAAUACCAGCUCAGCUUUCUGGAGAAGAGCAUUAUUUACUUGACCAUUUUCUUAAAUCCCUUUUAAUUUGGGUGUAUCUUAACAUGAUCUUAUUGGCUUUAACAUGCUGUAUCUCUGACCACUGGCCCCAGAGAAGCCUCAGGGAAAACUCUUCUGCUCUGUGCACUUGCCUCGCCAUCACAAAGCAAGAUUUUGUUCCAUCCGGUGAUUAGAAACGUCAUGUCACAUGUUCUGUUCCUUCUGGGACAGGCAAGUUCUAAGUGUACUUUUGUCCCCUGCUGGUCCUCAGGCCACUAGUAGAAAGGGAAGGAGACGAUGCUUCCCAGAAUUCAAACAGAGCUUUCUGCAAGAUUCCAUCCUCCCUUCCAGCUUUCCUCCUCCCCUCCUCCCUUCCAGCCCCCUUUGGAUGGUGACACCUCGGCUCAUUCCGCCCCUCCCUUGAAAAGCCCACAGGAUAUCAAAUAGCGUUUCUCUGAGGGGACACAAAGGACCGAGGAAAGGUUGGGCCCCAGACAGUCCCUGACAGGGAAGUGUAAACACAGCUGCGGAGAUGGCAGAAAGCACCCUCCCUCCUCCCCCAUUUCCCACCCAGAAGCAGGGAAGGGCCACCCUGCUGUGGAGAAACAAACAAGAAAACAAAGCAAAGCACAACCUAAAAGCCUGCAUGAAGGUCACCAGGAACUGGGGCUGCUGCCCAGGCCUUGGUGGGGCCAGCUUGCGUGCCAGGCCCCUCCCUGAAACACUUCGAGGCAAAGGCAGCUCCAGAGCAAGUUAAGGUCUGGACACCACUGAGCCUGGAAACAUGGCCCAAUUUUGGAAGCCUCUCCACCCCCGGACAUUGUGUCCUCUGAUCUCAAAAUCCCAGCUUUCCGCCUCAGGUACUUAGCUCCUGACCCCUGGUUGCUUAGGGAUCAUAAUAAUGCAUUCAAUUCAGCAAGCAAGAACAGGCCCACAAUAAACCCUUGUCCGUGGCUGUUAGAAGUUUAAAC
RNAcentral lists this long non-coding RNA (1533 nucleotides) under Sus scrofa (pig). RNAcentral describes it as "lncRNA (ENSSSCG00040027396.1)". Lineage: Eukaryota; Metazoa; Chordata; Mammalia; Artiodactyla; Suidae. The record is from RNAcentral.